RNAcentral lists this ribosomal RNA (622 nucleotides) under uncultured Actinomycetes bacterium. RNAcentral describes it as "bacterial SSU rRNA". It matches the Rfam family "Bacterial small subunit ribosomal RNA", at positions 8 to 651 of the family's 1533-position model. The record is from RNAcentral. Lineage: Bacteria; Bacillati; Actinomycetota; Actinomycetes.
AGAGUUUGAUCAUGGCUCAGGACGAACGCUGGCGGCGUGCCUAAUGCAUGCAAGUCGAGCGACGCACACUUCGGUGUGACGGAGCGGCGAACGGGUGAGUAACACGUGAGCAACCUGCCCUGAAGACCGGAAUAGCCCGGGGAAACCCGGUGUAAUGCCGGAUAUCCUCCCGAUACCGCAUGGUAUGGGAGAAAACGCUUUAGUGCUUCAGGAUGGGCUCACGGCCUAUCAGCUAGUUGGUGAGGUAACGGCUCACCAAGGCGACGACGGGUAGCUGGUCUGAGAGGACGAUCAGCCACACUGGGACUGAGACACGGCCCAGACUCCUACGGGAGGCAGCAGCAGGGAAUAUUGCGCAAUGGGCGAAAGCCUGACGCAGCGACGCCGCGUGGGGGAUGAAGGCCUUCGGGUUGUAAACCCCUUUCAGGAGGGAAGAAAUUGACGGUACCUCCAAAAGAAGCCCCGGCCAACUACGUGCCAGCAGCCGCGGUAAGACGUAGGGGGCAAGCGUUGUCCGGAAUCAUUGGGCGUAAAGGGCUCGUAGGCGGCUCGGUAAGUCGAACGUGAAAUCCCGGAGCUCAACUCCGGAACUGCGUUCGAUACUGCCGUGGCUUGAGUCAGG